RNAcentral lists this unclassified non-coding RNA (328 nucleotides) under soil metagenome. Its description in RNAcentral is "partial contains 5.8S ribosomal RNA, internal transcribed spacer 2, and large subunit ribosomal RNA". The stretch from base 1 to 120 matches the Rfam family "5.8S ribosomal RNA", at positions 35 to 154 of the family's 154-position model. The record is from RNAcentral.
GAUGAAGAACGCAGCGAAAUGCGAUAAGUAAUGUGAAUUGCAGAAUUCAGUGAAUCAUCGAAUCUUUGAACGCACAUUGCGCCCCUUGGUAUUCCGGGGGGCAUGCCUCUUCCAGCGUCAUUUCACCCCUCAAGCUCAGCUUGGUGUUGGGCCCCGCCGUCCCGGCGGGCCCUAAAGUCAGUGGCGGUGCCGUCCGGCUCCGAGCGUAGUAAUUCUUCUCGCUCUGGAGGUCCGGUCGUGUGCUCGCCAGCAACCCCCAAUUUUUUCAGGUUGACCUCGGAUCAGGUAGGGAUACCCGCUGAACUUAAGCAUAUCAAUAAGCGGAGGA